AUACGUAGGGGGCAAGCGUUGUCCGGAAUGAUUGGGCGUAAAGGGCGCGUAGGCGGCCCGGUAAGUCUGAAGUGAAAGUCCUGCUUUUAAGGUGGGAAUUGCUUUGGAUACUGUCGGGCUUGAGUGCAGGAGAGGUAAGUGGAAUUCCCAGUGUAGCGGUGAAAUGGGUGGAGAUUGGGAGGAACACCAGUGGCGAAGGCGACUAUCUGGACUGUAACUGCCGCUGAGGCUGGAAAGUGUGUGGAGCAAACAUGAUUAGAUACCCUGGUUAUCCACACUGUAAACGAUGGGUACUAGGUAUAUGAGGUAUCGACCCCUGCUGUGCCGUCGUUAACACAAGAAGGUCCCCGCCUGGGGAGUACAGUCGCAAGACUAAAACUCAAAUGAAUUUACGUGG
This 397-nucleotide ribosomal RNA is filed under the name uncultured bacterium. RNAcentral's name for it is "partial 16S ribosomal RNA". It matches the Rfam family "Bacterial small subunit ribosomal RNA", at positions 523 to 918 of the family's 1533-position model. The record is from RNAcentral.